This 207-nucleotide ribosomal RNA is filed under the name uncultured bacterium. Its description in RNAcentral is "partial 16S ribosomal RNA". It matches the Rfam family "Bacterial small subunit ribosomal RNA", at positions 568 to 774 of the family's 1533-position model. The record is from RNAcentral.
AGUGUAGGCGGCUUCGUAAGUCGGAUGUGAAAGCCCCGGGCUUAACCUGGGAAUGGCAUUCGAUACUGCGCGGCUAGAGUCUGAUAGAGGGAAGUGGAAUUCCAGGUGUAGCGGUGAAAUGCGUAGAGAUCUGGAGGAACACCAGUGGCGAAGGCGGCUUCCUGGAUCAAGACUGACGCUGGGGCUCGAAAGCGUGGGGAGCAAACA